GACGAACGCUGGCGGCGUGCUUAACACAUGCAAGUCGAACGGAAAGGCCCUGCUUUUGUGGGGUGCUCGAGUGGCGAACGGGUGAGUAACACGUGAGUAACCUGCCCUUGACUUUGGGAUAACUUCAGGAAACUGGGGCUAAUACCGGAUAGGAGCUCCUGCUGCAUGGUGGGGGUUGGAAAGUUUCGGCGUUUGGGGAUGGACUCGCGGCUUAUCAGCUUGUUGGUGGGGUAGUGGCUUACCAAGGCUUUGACGGGUAGCCGGCCUGAGAGGGUGACCGGCCACAUUGGGACUGAGAUACGGACCAGACUCCUACGGGAGGCAGCAGUGGGGAAUAUUGCACAAUGGGCGGAAGCCUGAUGCAGCAACGCCGCGUGCGGGAUGACGGCCUUCGGGUUGUAAACCGCUUUCGCCUGUGACGAAGCGUGAGUGACGGUAAUGGGUAAAGAAGCACCGGCUAACUACGUG
Molecule: ribosomal RNA, 468 nt
Filed under: uncultured bacterium
Lineage: Bacteria
Description: partial 16S ribosomal RNA
Rfam family: Bacterial small subunit ribosomal RNA
Source: RNAcentral